AAAGUCCCAUCUACUCUCAGUGAGCCAUCUGAUGGGUAGUAGUGAACUUCACAUGCAUUCCAGUGAUGGUGUGUAUGAAGCUGGAGGAAUCAAGGAUUCAGGCCGCGCUAUUGAGCCUCGAAAAUUAACGUAUUGUGGUCUAUUAAGAUAAUCUAUUGGUGCUUUAUCAAUAGAAAAAGCCGACACUAUAGCAGGAGUGGAAGGCUAAAGUCUGGAAGUUGUUUUUAGGCUAGAUUUUCAGACACCACCGUGGUCGGAGAACG
Candidatus Magnetoglobus multicellularis str. Araruama is the source of this 263-nucleotide non-coding RNA. The record is from Rfam. Lineage: Bacteria; Pseudomonadati; Thermodesulfobacteriota; Desulfobacteria; Desulfobacterales; Desulfobacteraceae.